UGGCAGAUGAGGGCUUCCCAUGCUGCCUGGCAAUCAGCAUUGCCUUGCAGGGCAGUAACCAGAGAGGUCAGGCUCUAGGAUCCCUUUGAAUAUUGAUUUUUGGGUUGAAAAGGCUCAAGUCAGACCACAACAGGUGCCUGCAAGUGGUUGUGGGUCUGCAGAGCCCUGGGCAGUAGCACACAGGUGAUGUGUGGCCCCCCGUGGUGCUUGUGAGUGGCAGUGAUGAGUUCACCAGGCUCAGCUGGCUGGGUGUCACAUGGCUGCCUGAUGCAGGUGCAGCAAAGCAGGGUCCUGGCUGAGGCUGGGAGAGAUGAGGACUGAGAAAGGGUUUUUGGGGUGGUGUGUCCUUGUGUUCGAGCCAGGAAGAGGAAGUUGGAGAAGAGGAUGUGUGCCCUUGCAGCCUGGUAAAGUGGGGUCAAAGAGUGGAGGUGAGGCAAUGCUUGGUGUCUGGGUGAGGAGGAAGAAGAGGAUGCUUUGCUUGGUUUCUGCCUCAGGCCCUUCAUUUUCCCCCCAGCUCGAGGAUGCUGAAUAACGACAAGAAGCUGCUGUGACAUCUGGAGACUUGCACGCUCGUUCAAACUGCUCCGAGAAGUGCUUGAUGGUGUUUGAAGUACCGGUGUCCACUUGGCCUUCCUGUCCCGCUCUCAAGCCUGUUGUUGGAGAUUGUGACAAAUCAAGGACGGAGGAAAAUGUUGUGCUUUAAUCGAAAACACUACUUUUUGCUACACACGAGGGAUGACAAUCCUGCAGUGACAGUGCUGGAACAGGACGCUGAGAUGCAAGCCCCAUUCACAGGUGUGCCAUGGUUUUGCUUCUGGGACUUUAGCUUAUCCAAAUAAAGAGAGAAGAGCUGGAAGUGGGCCUUGGCAGAGCCGGAGAUGGAUUUCAGUUGGGAACAAUAAUCCGCUGCGUCUAAUUUUGAUCGAGUCCGUUUGCUUCCCUUUGAAAUAGGUGUCUGGUCUACUUGUGCGUACAACCAGCAGGCCAUACAGCUUGCCCACCACAUGGGGCUGUUUACAACGUCAAUCACAGCGUUCGGCUCUUCGUUGGCUGUUUGCCUUAAUUUGUUUCUUUGGCUGGCGUGCUGUUCAAAGAUUGAUUGAUUGAAUUACUUAUUUUUCCAUUCCUUAUGAGUCUAGGGCCGCCCCUUGUCAUGCAAGGCAAUUGGGAGAAGUUGCAUCCAGGCCAUGAGCUGACACCCUUGGUAGACUCAAGGACUGGAGCAUGACGACUUGAUGGCUUAGGAACAUGUUAAUGAGAUGCCGCGUGCAUGGGGGAGGUUAUGGGGGCAAAUCCUCAGUUGGUGUACAUAAUUUCAACCAAGCUAUAGCAAUGUAUACAAGCCGAGGAGCCGGCCCUUCCAGUUGGAGUCCAUCCCAACUCGGUGCUGGUGGAAAGUUGUUUCCAUUGCUAAUGAAUAGGAAUCUAAUGUUAAGAAAGAACAAUAAAGCCCACCCCACAGCACACUACCGCGAUGAUCCCUUGGCCAGCAGUCUCAGUUGAGCCUAGGGGCUGAAUGAGCCUUCAAGAACCUCCUCAGGGCCUCCUCUUCAGCAAACCUGGGGUAAGCUCCUACCAGGGCUGUGCUGUGUCAUAGUUCAGAGGAGUUUCUCCCAAGUUCAUAUAGAGAUGCAUUGGCCGCUCUGUGCAGAAGACCAGUCCAAGGCCAAGUACCACUGAGUGUUGUCAGGCGUCGACAGGGGACUGAGUGGUGUGCAGCCGUUCUCCUCUGCAAGCCACCCACCCACCCAGCACUGUAUUAAGUCCUAUUUUGGCAUCAUAGCGUGAUCCAUUAAUGAUCUGCUUGGUGAACUUGAUCUCCAGCACGAGCUGGAAAGGCUCUGAUGUCAUCCACUGAAGGGUUCGACCCUACACGCUUCAAGGACCUGAUCCCGAGUCCUUUGAAGGGUUGAGGUUGGAGUCUAUGGAGUCGCCAAGACUGACCUCCUUUUCAUUAAGGGGAUGCAGAUUUGGGAGGGGGGGGGCAUUGAUCCUGCCCUCCCAACCCCCCCCCCAAUAAAAUUCACUUUAUAAGUGCUUUCUCAGUUUCAGUAUAUUAUUCUUGAUCAUUUGUAAGGGGGAAGAGUGGUGAGCAAGCUGCAUGGACAGAGCUACAAAGGGAUGAUUUUUCACUGCCUUGCUACUGCUUUAAUCUCCAGGCUGUUCAGAAAGGGAAUGUUUAAUUGGUGCCCUGGUGAAA
This is a long non-coding RNA of Alligator mississippiensis (American alligator), 2200 nucleotides long. RefSeq lists it as uncharacterized. The record is from RefSeq and is a predicted model, not a curated record. The transcript is spliced from 5 exons. NCBI's taxonomy places the organism in Eukaryota, Metazoa, Chordata, Crocodylia, Alligatoridae.